CGGCGGAGAGGCGGCCAGCGGCGGCGCGGCGGAGAGGCGGAUAGCGGCGGAGAGGCGGACAGCGGCGGCGCGGCGGAGAGACGGACAGCGGCGGAGAGGCGGACAGCGGCGGAGAGGCGGACAGCGGCGGCGCGGCGGAGAGACGGACAGCGGCGGAGAGGCGGACAGCGGCGGCGCGGCGGAGAGACGGAUAGCGGCGGAGAGGCGGACAGCGGCGGCGCGGCGGAGAGGCGGACAGCGGCGGAGAGGUGGACAGCGGCGGAGAGGCGGACAGCGGCGGCGCGGCGGAGAGACGGACAGCGGCGGAGAGGCGGACAGCGGCGGCGCGGCGGAGAGGCGGACAGCGGCGGCGCGGCGGAGAGACGGACAGCGGCGGAGAGGCAGACAGCGGCGGCGAGGCGCGCAGCGGCGGCGCAGGCGCGGAGAGGCGCUGGCGCCGGCUCUGGCGCGGAGAGGUGCAGGCCCAGGCUCCACUCCCCAGCUGUGAAAGGGUAAGAACCGAGGGUGGCUGAGACUCGGGGUUGUUCAGGGCGGGGUGGGCUCUGGACCCAGCAGGCCCGGCACCCAGGUCAGGGCUCCAGGGGAGGCCAGGUGGGCGAAGGCCAAGAAGGGGCUGGGGCUGGUCAGGAAGGGCUCCUGGUGACCAGAGCACUUUGCGUGAGCCAGCGUGGGAGGAAGGUGGGCUAGAUGAGCCAGGGAGGCGCCGGGAGGGGCCUUGGCAGAGGCGACCCCCUCCGUCACCCCCAGGCCACUGAACCCUGGGUAGCGAGAACCGACAGGGGAGGCUGCAGACAGAGGAGUGGAGGCUCCCCGGCUUUGGGGGCUCUGAGUAGAAGCAUCUAGGGGGUCCCUCAAGAGGCCCCCAAACGCUUCCCCAUGGUGAGAAAAGAAGGCGCAGAGAGGGGCACGGCGCCGGCGCAGAGGGGCACACAGCGAGAUUUGCUGUGAGUUCUUUUAUUGCCCCAAGUGUACCUCAUCUUGGUAGAUUUCUAUUGGCUUUAAAAAUGUGUGUGUUUUGCUGUUGGGGAGUGGGGUGUUAUACGGAUGUCAGAUUUUGCUGGUUGACUGUUCAGAUCUUUUGUAAAUCCUUGCUCCUUUUCUGCCUAGUUUCACUCUGUCACUUACACUAGAGUGCGGUGGCACGAACAUGACUCACUGCAGCCUUGACUUCCUAGGGUCAAGUACUCCCCCUGGCUUAAUCUCCUGAGUAGCUGGUACUAUAGGUGUGUGCCGCCACACCUGGCUAAAUUUAAAAUUUUUUGGAGAGAUGAGGCCUUGCUAUGUUGCCCAGGCUCGAACUCCUGGCCUCAAGCUAUCCUUUGUUUUUGCCUCCCAGAGUUCUGGGAUUACAGGCAUGAGCCACUGUGCCCGGCCUCUGCCUAGUUUUAACAGUUGCUAAGAGGAGGAUGUUGAAGUAGAUGUCUUCUUGGUGGGUUAAUCCUUUUGUCAUUAAGCAGUUGUUAUGGUCACUUCCUUUUCACCCCAUUGGUGAAGGAGGGGUCCCUGCCCUAAAGUGUAGGAGAUGGCCGAACAUGACACCUGGCGUGGAUGGAUGAGAUUGACAGCAGUGUUUUAGUCGCAUAUACCCACAGCUCGGAGGAGGACACUGCAUGCCACACAGGGUUUUCUGCCUCCUGCUAAGCCAAUUUAUACAUUCCAAGAAAAUCUUCCAUUUCAUCCAGGUGAAACGGAACCUACUGGAAUGAAGCUGGCCUCCCAUGGAAUGAAGCUGGCCUCCCGUCUCCUUGAUUUGAAGCAGCUUCUCCACGUUGGUUAUUAUGCCAUUUUUCUAAAUCUAACAUUUUAAAAUUUGUGCCUUUUCUUUCUCUUUUGCUUGACUUCUCAGAGGUUUUUUUAACGGUCUUUUCAAAGAAGUGGUUUUGGGUUUUAUUUAUCAAGUCUACUUUUAUUAUGGCUGUUUUAAAAUUAAAUACAUUUAUUUCUUGUUUCCCUUAAAAAAGCUUC
Molecule: long non-coding RNA, 1965 nt
Filed under: Homo sapiens (human)
Lineage: Eukaryota; Metazoa; Chordata; Mammalia; Primates; Hominidae
Description: HSALNT0304037
Source: RNAcentral